GACAGAGGGUGCAAACGUUGUUCGGAAUUACUGGGCGUAAAGCGCACGCAGGCGGUCUGUUAAGUCAGAUGUGAAAUCCCCGGGCUUAACCUGGGAACUGCAUUUGAAACUGGCAGGCUUGAGUCUUGUAGAGGGGGGUAGAAUUCCAGGUGUAGCGGUGAAAUGCGUAGAGAUCUGGAGGAAUACCGGUGGCGAAGGCGGCCCCCUGGACAAAGACUGACGCUCAGGUGCGAAAGCGUGGGGAGCAAACAGG
RNAcentral lists this ribosomal RNA (253 nucleotides) under uncultured bacterium. RNAcentral describes it as "partial 16S ribosomal RNA". It matches the Rfam family "Bacterial small subunit ribosomal RNA", at positions 524 to 776 of the family's 1533-position model. The record is from RNAcentral.